GCCCCCCCCCCGUCGUCACCUGCGGUCCUCGGGUCCGUGCUGCAGAACGUGACGUUGGCCACGGGGUAAUGGCGGCGGAAGAAGAGCCUGCGCUGGCGGUCGGUCAGGGUGAUGCCGCGCGCGGACACGUGGAAGUGAGCGGUGCACGGCGGGGGGGGCGGCGCUCCGAGCACGGCGUCGGCUGCCAGCGCCACCGCGCGCGGCCCCGUCAGCGCUUCCGUGAGCACCGAGCCGAGGUACCGCACCGUGCAGGCUGCGGGGACACCGCGCGCCGCUCCGACACCGCCCGAACCGCACCACGACCCCCCCCGUCCCAACGCCCCCCGCCCCCCACCUGCUCCCUGACGCAGCAGCUCAGCGGCGGUGCUGAC
This 371-nucleotide long non-coding RNA is filed under the name Gallus gallus (chicken). The record is from RNAcentral. Lineage: Eukaryota; Metazoa; Chordata; Aves; Galliformes; Phasianidae.